GCAUUCCCCUACACUGGAGCCUACACAGGACCAAGGGCUCCUCCUCCUAUUGAUGCCCGACAAGGCCAUCCUCUGCUACCUAUGCAGCUGGAGCCAUAGGAAUAUUUUGUUCCUCUCCUCUAAGAAGGACUGAAGCAUUCACAUUCUGAUCUUCCUUCUUGAGCUUCAUAUGGUCAGUGCUGCUCUCAACACUCGUCAGAGAAGCUUCUUUUUGCAGUGGCUCAUGGCAACGGCAGAGACUCAUAACGACUCCGAGUGCUUAGUGACUAAGUGCUUAGCCUAAUGUGGGGCUAACUCUGUCAUCUGUCAACCAGACUCCACUCGAAGCUCCUGGAAUAUCACCGGAAAGGAGGCAAAAGAGUGUAAGAACCAAAGCCUGGGGAGAAGAGCUAUGAGUUGUUUCUGAACAUGACAUGGUCAUUGCACACAUGGACUUGCAGGAACUAUAGAUACCUGCACAGAACCUGCACAGGAACAAGCCACUCAAAGUUUCGACGUGGACAGAAAAGAGGCUCCCGAGGCCCCGCCCCCAGCCGAGGAGUCACUGACAGUUGACAAGAACUGAGGGAGGGAGAGUUCUUUUUCUUUAGGGGUUUGUUUAGGCGGUAGCUUGUUCAUGCCCCAGUGGCUUGUCCCACAUCUAUGCAUAUGUGAACAACACGAAGUAGAUUCAUUGGGCUAUUAAUUUUUUUUAAAGAAAUGAAAUUGAGAGGAAAAUGCUUU
Molecule: long non-coding RNA, 723 nt
Filed under: Rattus norvegicus (Norway rat)
Lineage: Eukaryota; Metazoa; Chordata; Mammalia; Rodentia; Muridae
Description: long non-coding RNA NONRATT028804
Source: RNAcentral